This 2880-nucleotide ribosomal RNA is filed under the name Stenotrophomonas maltophilia. RNAcentral describes it as "23S ribosomal RNA". It matches the Rfam family "Bacterial large subunit ribosomal RNA". The record is from RNAcentral. Lineage: Bacteria; Pseudomonadati; Pseudomonadota; Gammaproteobacteria; Lysobacterales; Lysobacteraceae. RNAcentral also lists the same sequence under 1 other name.
GGUCAAGCGAAUAAGCGCACACGGUGGAUGCCUUGGCGGUCAGAGGCGAUGAAGGACGUGGCAGCCUGCGAAAAGUAUCGGGGAGCUGGCAACAAGCUUUGAUCCGGUAAUGUCCGAAUGGGGAAACCCACCCGCUUGCGGGUAUCCUGCAGUGAAUACAUAGCUGCUGGAAGCGAACCUGGUGAACUGAAAUAUCUAAGUAACCAGAGGAAAAGAAAUCAACCGAGAUUCCGUAAGUAGCGACGAGCGAACGCGGACUAGCCCUUAAGCUGGAUUGGUUCUAGGAAAACGCUCUGGAAAGAGCGGCCAUAGAAGGUGAUAGCCCUGUAUCUGAAAGGGCCAUUCCAGUGAAGACGAGUAGGGCGGGGCACGUGAAACCCUGUCUGAACAUGGGGGGACCAUCCUCCAAGGCUAAAUACUACUGACCGACCGAUAGUGAACCAGUACCGUGAGGGAAAGGCGAAAAGAACCCCGGAGAGGGGAGUGAAAUAGAACCUGAAACCGUGUGCGUACAAGCAGUAGGAGCUCCGCAAGGAGUGACUGCGUACCUUUUGUAUAAUGGGUCAGCGACUUACUGUUCGUGGCAAGCUUAACCGUAUAGGGGAGGCGAAGGGAAACCGAGUCUGAUAAGGGCGCAUAGUCGCGGGCAGUAGACCCGAAACCGGGUGAUCUAGUCAUGCCCAGGGUGAAGGUGCGGUAACACGCACUGGAGGCCCGAACCCACUCCCGUUGCAAAGGUAGGGGAUGAGGUGUGAUUAGGAGUGAAAAGCUAAUCGAACCCGGAGAUAGCUGGUUCUCCUCGAAAGCUAUUUAGGUAGCGCCUCAUAUGUAUCCUCUCGGGGGUAGAGCACUGUUAUGGCUAGGGGGUCAUCGCGACUUACCAAACCAUUGCAAACUCCGAAUACCGAGACGGACUGUAUGGGAGACACACGGCGGGUGCUAACGUCCGUCGUGAAAAGGGAAACAACCCAGACCCACAGCUAAGGUCCCAAAUUUUGUGCUAAGUGGAAAACCAUGUGGAAAGGCACAGACAGCCAGGAGGUUGGCUUAGAAGCAGCCACCCUUUAAAGAAAGCGUAAUAGCUCACUGGUCGAGUCGGUCUGCGGGGAAGAUUUAACGGGGCUAAGCACAGAACCGAAGCUUGGGGUGCAUAACUUUGUUAUGCGCGGUAGAGGAGCGUUCCGUAAGCCGUUGAAGGUGGAUUGAGAAGUCUGCUGGAGGUAUCGGAAGUGCGAAUGCUGACAUGAGUAACGAUAAUGCGGGUGAAAAACCCGCACGCCGAAAGCCCAAGGUUUCCUUGCGCAACGUUAAUCGGCGCAGGGUGAGUCGGCCCCUAAGGCGAGGACGAAAGUCGUAGUCGAUGGGAAGCAGGUUAAUAUUCCUGCACCUCGCGUAAGUGCGAUGGAGGGACGGAGAAGGUUAGGUGUACCAGGCGUUGGUUGUCCUGGGGAAAGGCGGUAGGUUUGGAUCUUUGGCAAAUCCGGGAUCCUUUAAGACCGAGCACCGAGACGAGCCUUUAAGGCGAAGUCACUGAUACCACGCUUCCAGGAAAAGCUCCUAAGCUUCAGCUUACGCAGACCGUACCGUAAACCGACACAGGUGGGUAGGAUGAGAAUUCUCAGGCGCUUGAGAGAACUCGGGUGAAGGAACUAGGCAACAUGGCACCGUAACUUCGGGAGAAGGUGCACCCUUUUUGGUGGCUCGUGCGAGCUAUAGCUGAAGAGGGUCGCAGUAACCAGGCCGCUGCGACUGUUUAUCAAAAACACAGCACUCUGCAAACACGAAAGUGGACGUAUAGGGUGUGACGCCUGCCCGGUGCUGGAAGGUUAAUUGAUGGGGUCAGCCGCAAGGCGAAGCUCUUGAUCGAAGCCCCAGUAAACGGCGGCCGUAACUAUAACGGUCCUAAGGUAGCGAAAUUCCUUGUCGGGUAAGUUCCGACCUGCACGAAUGGCGUAACGACAGCGGCGCUGUCUCCACCCGAGACUCAGUGAAAUUGAAAUCGCUGUGAAGAUGCAGCGUUCCCGUGGCAAGACGGAAAGACCCCGUGAACCUUUACUAUAGCUUUACACUGAACGUUGAGUUCGUCUGUGUAGGAUAGGUGGGAGGCUAUGAAACCAUGGCGCUAGCUGUGGCGGAGCCAUCCUUGAAAUACCACCCUGUCGUGCUUGACGUUCUAACCUGGGCCCAUUAUCUGGGUCGGGGACCGUGUAUGGUGGGUAGUUUGACUGGGGCGGUCUCCUCCUAAAGAGUAACGGAGGAGCUCGAAGGUACGCUCAGCGCGGUCGGACAUCGCGCACUGUGUGCAAAGGCAUAAGCGUGCUUGACUGCAAGAUCGACGGAUCAAGCAGGUAGGAAACUAGGACUUAGUGAUCCGGUGGUUCUGUAUGGAAGGGCCAUCGCUCAACGGAUAAAAGGUACUCCGGGGAUAACAGGCUGAUACCGCCCAAGAGUUCAUAUCGACGGCGGUGUUUGGCACCUCGAUGUCGGCUCAUCACAUCCUGGGGCUGUAGUCGGUCCCAAGGGUAUGGCUGUUCGCCAUUUAAAGUGGUACGCGAGCUGGGUUCAGAACGUCGUGAGACAGUUCGGUCCCUAUCUGCCAUGGGCGUUGGAGAUUUGAGAGGGGCUGCUCCUAGUACGAGAGGACCGGAGUGGACGAACCUCUGGUGUUCCGGUUGUCACGCCAGUGGCAUUGCCGGGUAGCUAUGUUCGGAAGCGAUAACCGCUGAAAGCAUCUAAGCGGGAAGCGCGCCUCAAGAUGAGAUCUCCCGGGGCACAAGCCCCCUGAAGGAACCAUGUAGACUACGUGGUUGAUAGGUCAGGUGUGUAAGUACAGCAAUGUAUUGAGCUAACUGAUACUAAUGAUCCGUGCGGCUUGACCAU